CGGAGAUAGCUGGUUCUCCCCGAAAUAGCUUUAGGGCUAGCGUUAUGUUAGAUUACCGGAGGUAAAGCACUGAAUGGGCUAGGGGCUGAUAAAGUUACUGAACCCUAUCAAACUCAGAAUGCCGGAUAAUUGAUGCAUAGCAGUCAGUCUACGUGAGAUAAGUCUCGUGGACAAAAGGGAAACAGCCCAGACCCACAGCUAAGGUCCCAAAUAGAUGCUAAGUGGAAAACGAUGUGAGAUUGCCCAGACAACCAGGAUGUUGGCUUAGAAGCAGCCACACAUUAAAAGAGUGCGUAAUAGCUCACUGGUCGAGUGGUCUUGCGCGGAAAAUAUAACGGGGCUAAGCAUCUAACCGAAGCUUGGGCUUGUCGUGAGACAGGGGUAGGGGAGCGUCGAAUACGGGGUGAAGUCAGAGCGAGAGCACUGGUGGACUGUAUUCGAGUGAGAAUGCCGGAAUGAGUAGCGAGAAUUAUGUGGGAAUCAUAAUGGCCGAAAAUCUAAGGAUUCCUGGGGAAGGUUCGUCCGCCCAGGGUUAGCCGGGAGCUAAGGCGAGGCCGCAAGGCGUAGUCGAUGCACAUACGGUUGAAAUUCCGUAGCCACCUUAUCGAUGAAAAGCUGACACUUGGGGAUAGCGGAACCCGGAGAUUGGUAGAUCCGGGCGUAAGGGACCGAACACGAGUAGGGAAGUCCGCGAUGCUCUGAGGCGAGAAAAGGCGAAGGUAGGGUGCCCGUACCGCAAACCGACACAGGUAGAUGAGGAGAGAAUCCUAAGGCCAACGGGAGAAGGGUUGUUAAGGAACUCGGCAAAAUGACCCCGUAACUUCGGGAUAAGGGGAGCCUGCGUAAGCAGGCCGCAGAGAAUAGGCCCAAGCGACUGUUUACCAAAAACACAGGUCUAUGCUAAAUCGAAAGAUGACGUAUAUGGGCUGACGCCUGCCCGGUGCUGGAAGGUUAAGAGGAGAUGUCAGGCAACGAAGCAUUGAAUCGAAGCCCCAGUAAACGGCGGCCGUAACUAUAACGGUCCUAAGGUAGCGAAAUUCCUUGUCAGGUAAGUUCUGACCCGCACGAAUGGCGUAACGAUUUGGGCGCUGUCUCAACAGCCCACCCGGCGAAAUUGUUGUACUGGUGAAGAAGCCAGUUACCCGCAACUAGACGGAAAGACCCCAUGGAGCUUUACUGCAGCUUAAUACUGGAAUUCGGUAAUUCAUGUACAGGAUAGGUGGGAGACAUGGAAACCUGGUCGUCAGGUCAGGUGGAGUCGCCCUUGGGAUACCACUCUUGGAUUGCUGGGUUUCUAACCUGCGGCCGUGAAUCCGGUCGGGGGACACUGUUAGGCAGACAGUUUGACUGGGGCGGUCGCCUCCUAAAAGGUAACGGAGGCGCUCAAAGGUUGGCUCAGCACGGACGGAAAUCGUGCAGUGAGUGUAAACGUAUAAGCCAGCCUAACUGCGAGAGUGACGGCUCGAGCAGUAACGAAAGUUGGAGUUAGUGAUCCGGUGGUAUGUGAGUGGAAAUGCCAUCGCUCAACGGAUAAAAGCUACCCUGGGGAUAACAGGCUGAUCUCCCCCAAGCGUCCACAGCGACGGGGAGGUUUGGCACCUCGAUGUCGGCUCGUCACAUCCUGGGGCUGUACUCGGUCCCAAGGGUUCGGCUGUUCGCCGAUUAAAGUGGCACGCGAGCUGGGUUCAGAACGUCGUGAGACAGUUCGGUCCCUAUCUGUUGCGGGCGUAAGAGAUUUGAAGGG
RNAcentral lists this ribosomal RNA (1744 nucleotides) under human gut metagenome. RNAcentral describes it as "bacterial LSU rRNA". It matches the Rfam family "Bacterial large subunit ribosomal RNA", at positions 840 to 2669 of the family's 2925-position model. The record is from RNAcentral.